GGCUGGUCCGAUGGUAGUGGGUUAUCAGAACUUAUUAACAUUAGUAUCACUAAAGUUGAUAUACAACCCCCCCACUGCUAAAUUUGACUGGCUUUUU
This is an unclassified non-coding RNA of Dipodomys ordii (Ord's kangaroo rat), 97 nucleotides long. It matches the Rfam family "Y RNA". Rfam says of the family: Y RNAs are components of the Ro ribonucleoprotein particle (Ro RNP), in association with Ro60 and La proteins. The Y RNAs and Ro60 and La proteins are well conserved, but the function of the Ro RNP is not known. NCBI's taxonomy places the organism in Eukaryota, Metazoa, Chordata, Mammalia, Rodentia, Heteromyidae. The record is from Ensembl.